Molecule: non-coding RNA, 148 nt
Filed under: Homo sapiens (human)
Lineage: Eukaryota; Metazoa; Chordata; Mammalia; Primates; Hominidae
Source: Rfam by way of RNAcentral
GCCAGGCAUGAUGGCGCAUGCCUGUAGUCCCAGUUGCUUGGGAGGCUGGGGCAGGAGAAUCACUUGAGCCCAGGAGAUCAAGGCUACAGUGAGCUAUGAUUGUGUCACUGCACUAUAGCCUGGGUGUCAGAGUGAGAUCCUGUCUCUC